UUAAAUUUAGUUUUUAUUGUAAUGAUCUCAUGUUUUUCGCGUCACUGAUGAAUUUUUUUUGGUUUUUGUUUUUUGUUCUUUUUUCUCGGUUAUUCGAGAACCUUAUCUUUUGUUUUGGUUCGUAACUUAUUUUGUUGCUUUUAGUGAUGAGGCCUAUGUUCUAGGGUUUUCUUUGGGUUCUUUUAGUGUAAGAACAUGGAGAUCUGUUGCGUCACUUCGUUUGUUUGCAUUCGUUGUUGGUUUCAUGCUAAUUUAAUGUAUGGCAUGUCUAGGUGCUUCUGUCCAAGUACUUUUUCUAUUUGUAAUUACUCCUUAUUUAUGAAAUAUCUACUUUCCCUUGUUUUUCCUUUCAUUCAAUUAGAGUUAAUAUUGCGAGUUCAAUUUACCUGAUCUAUGAUACGUGACACUUUGGGAUUGAACUGACUUAUUUAUAAUUUAUUCAUUUGCAGAAGUUUGGGUUGAGUAUCCUUUAUUGAGAAACCUUGGCUCAUAAGAAGUUUAAAGCUAAUAUCUGUGCGCAAGAUUGGAAAUCUUUUAAAGAGUUCCAGAGCGGUGGUGAAGUUGACUUGGACUGCAUUUAAUUGCUCAAUUUUAUUUUCUUAUAUAUAAUCAGGGCUGUUCUCUUUGUCGGUGCUAAAUGGGGAUCUUUGAAGAAAUGGGUUUCUGUGGUAAUCUUGAUUUCCUUUCGGCUCCUCCUGGGGAAGGAGAGGCAGCUCCAGAGCAUGACCCAGAGGCAACAGCAGAGGAGGAUAAUAGUGAUGAAGAAAUGGAUGUUGAUGAGCUUGAGAGGAGGAUGUGGAGAGAUCGGAUGCUAUUGAAGCGACUUAAAGAACAAAGUAAGGGAAAGGAAGGAGUUGACAAUGCAAGGCAGCGUCAAUCACAGGAACAAGCUCGGAGGAAGAAGAUGUCGCGGGCACAAGAUGGAAUCCUGAAAUAUAUGCUGAAAAUGAUGGAAGUUUGCAAAGCUCAGGGUUUUGUUUAUGGGAUUAUCCCGGAAAAAGGAAAACCAGUGAGUGGUGCAUCUGACAAUCUUCGAGAGUGGUGGAAGGAAAAAGUAAGGUUUGAUCGUAAUGGCCCGGCUGCAAUUUCCAAGUAUCAGGCAGAUCAUUCAAUCCCUGGGAAAAAUGAAGACUGCAGUGCGGUGGCAUCCACUCCUCACACCUUACAGGAGCUCCAAGACACAACUCUUGGUUCCCUUUUGUCAGCUUUGAUGCAGCACUGUGAUCCACCCCAAAGACGUUUUCCAUUGGAGAAGGGUGUUGCCCCACCUUGGUGGCCUACUGGUAAUGAGGAAUGGUGGCCUCAAUUAAAUUUACCAAAGGAUCAGGGUCCUCCCCCAUACAAGAAGCCUCAUGAUUUGAAGAAGGCUUGGAAGGUGAGUGUUCUCACGGCUGUGAUAAAGCACAUGUCACCUGAUAUUUCCAAGAUCCGCAAGCUUGUUCGUCAGUCUAAAUGUUUGCAGGACAAAAUGACUGCCAAGGAGAGUGCUACUUGGCUAGCCAUUAUAAACCAGGAGGAAGCUUUGGCCCGGAGGUUGUAUCCUGAUAGAUGUCCCCCUCCAUCAGCUGUUGGGAGUGGGUCUUUUACAAUCAGCGGUACCAGUGAUUAUGAUGUUGAAGGGGUGGAUGAUGAACAAAAUGUUGAAGUAGAGGAUUGCAAACCUCUUGUUAAUCACUUCAAUAUUGGAACAGCUGGACAAAGAGAGAGGAUGGUACCUCAGAUUAAGGGAGAGCUGAUUGAGACCAACUCAGACUUUGGUCAGAAGAGGAAGCAGCUGGCCGAAGAGCCACAGAUGAUGCUAAAUCAGAAGAUUUACACCUGUGAAUACCCCCAAUGCCCAUAUCAUGAUUGCCGCCUAGGCUUUCUUGACAUAACUGCAAGAAACAAUCACCAGUUGAAUUGUGCAUACCGGGGUAAUUCUUCACAAGUGUUUGGAAUGUCAGGCUUUCAUCUUAACAACGACAAACCUGUGGGCUUCUCUCUACCCAUUACUCAACCUAAGCCAGCUAUUCAACAACCAGUGAACCAGACAAGUAGUUUUAAUGCUUCAGGACUUGGACUAGCCGAGGAUGGGCAGAAAAUGAUAUCUCAACUGAUGUCAUUCUAUGAUAGUAAUGUUCAGCAGAACAAGAACUCAAAUCCUGGAAACCUCAAUGUUGUCGAAGACCACAACCAGCAGCAGGUGAAAUUUCAAUUUCCAAUGGAGGAUAACUUCUAUGGUCAAGGGCUGGUUAUAGGACGCAACAUGUCUGAACCGACCUCCUUGCCUAUGCUUCAUUCAGUUUUCC
Molecule: long non-coding RNA, 2288 nt
Filed under: Prunus persica (peach)
Lineage: Eukaryota; Viridiplantae; Streptophyta; Magnoliopsida; Rosales; Rosaceae
Description: long non-coding RNA (PPER_LNC001988)
Source: RNAcentral